CCUACGGGUGGCUGCAGUGAGGAAUAUUGGUCAAUGGGCGCGAGCCUGAACCAGCCACGUAGCGUGAGGGAUGACUGCCCUACGAGUUGUAAACUUCUUUUUUAAAGGAGUAAAUUGAGGCACGUAUGCAUUCAUGUAUUUACUUUAUGUAUUAGGAUAGGCGAACUUCGUUCCAUCAGCCGCGGUACUACAGAGGGUACGAGCGUUAUCCGGAUGUAUUGGAUUUAACGGGAGCGUAGAGGGGUUGUUAAGUCAGAUGUGAAAGGUUGCGGCUCAACCGUGAAAUGGCAAUUGAUACUGGCAGCCUUGAGUACAGAUGAGGUAAGCGGAAUUCGUGGUGUAGCGGUGAAAUGCUUAGAGAUCACGAAGAACUCCGAUGGCGAAGGCAGCUUUCUAAUCUGCCACUGACAUUGAUGCUCGAAAGUGUGGGUAUCAAACAGGAUUAGAUACCCGAGUAGUC
This 460-nucleotide ribosomal RNA is filed under the name uncultured bacterium. Its description in RNAcentral is "partial 16S ribosomal RNA". It matches the Rfam family "Bacterial small subunit ribosomal RNA", at positions 338 to 795 of the family's 1533-position model. The record is from RNAcentral.